UUAAGUUCAGCGGGUAUCCCUACCUGAUCCGAGGUCAACCGAUUGGGGAUCUUACUCCCCGUUCUAGUUAAAGAAGACCGGAGCCGGCCUGCGCCUACGAGCGGUGGUUUUUUUACCUCCAUUCACUCGGGCGCCGGAGUCGCGGCUGCCGUCACUGCCAUUGGGGCGCGUCCACGCGGGACGGCCGCCCAAAACACAAG
This 200-nucleotide unclassified non-coding RNA is filed under the name Chrysosporium sp. RNAcentral's name for it is "partial internal transcribed spacer 2". The record is from RNAcentral. Lineage: Eukaryota; Fungi; Ascomycota; Eurotiomycetes; Onygenales; Onygenaceae.